This 497-nucleotide ribosomal RNA is filed under the name uncultured bacterium. RNAcentral's name for it is "partial 16S ribosomal RNA". It matches the Rfam family "Bacterial small subunit ribosomal RNA", at positions 28 to 507 of the family's 1533-position model. The record is from RNAcentral.
GAUGAACGCUGGCGGCGUGCCUAAUACAUGCAAGUCGAGCGAACAGAUGAGGAGCUUGCUCCUCUGACGUUAGCGGCGGACGGGUGAGUAACACGUGGAUAACCUACCUAUAAGACUGGGAUAACUUCGGGAAAACGGAGCUAAUACCGGAUAAUAUAUUGAACCGCAUGGUUCAAUAGUAAAAGACGGUUUUGCUGUCACUUAUAGAUGGAUCCGCGCCGCAUUAGCUAGUUGGUAAGGUAACGGCUUACCAAGGCAACGAUGCGUAGCCGACCUGAGAGGAUGAUCGGCCACACUGGAACUGAGACACGGUCCAGACUCCUACGGGAGGCAGCAGUAGGGAAUCUUCCGCAAUGGGCGAAAGCCUGACGGAGCAACGCCGCGUGAGUGAUGAAGGUCUUCGGAUCGUAAAACUCUGUUAUUAGGGAAGAACAAAUGUGUAAGUAACUAUGCACGUCUUGACGGUACCUAAUCAGAAAGCCACGGCUAACUACGUG